RNAcentral lists this transfer RNA (71 nucleotides) under Mizuhopecten yessoensis (Yesso scallop). RNAcentral's name for it is "tRNA-Gly". It matches the Rfam family "tRNA". Rfam says of the family: Transfer RNA (tRNA) molecules are approximately 80 nucleotides in length. Their secondary structure includes four short double-helical elements and three loops (D, anti-codon, and T loops). Further hydrogen bonds mediate the characteristic L-shaped molecular structure. tRNAs have two regions of fundamental functional importance: the anti-codon, which is responsible for specific mRNA codon recognition, and the 3' end, to which the tRNAs corresponding amino acid is attached (by aminoacyl-tRNA synthetases). tRNAs cope with the degeneracy of the genetic code in two manners: having more than one tRNA (with a specific anti-codon) for a particular amino acid; and 'wobble' base-pairing, i.e. permitting non-standard base-pairing at the 3rd anti-codon position. Lineage: Eukaryota; Metazoa; Mollusca; Bivalvia; Pectinida; Pectinidae. The record is from Rfam by way of RNAcentral.
GCAUCGGUGGUUCAGUGGUAGAAUUCUCGCCUGCCACGCGGGAGGCCCGGGUUCAAUUCCCGGGCGAUGCA